GCAGCCUGAUGCAGCCAUGCCGCGUGUGUGAAGAAGGCCUUCGGGUUGUAAAGCACUUUCAGUCAGGAGGAAAGGUUAGUAGUUAAUACCUGCUAGCUGUGACGUUACUGACAGAAGAAGCACCGGCUAACUCCGUGCCAGCAGCCGCGGUAAUACGGAGGGUGCGAGCGUUAAUCGGAAUUACUGGGCGUAAAGCGUACGCAGGCGGUUUGUUAAGCGAGAUGUGAAAGCCCCGGGCUCAACCUGGGAACUGCAUUUCGAACUGGCAAACUAGAGUGUGAUAGAGGGUGGUAGAAUUUCAGGUGUAGCGGUGAAAUGCGUAGAGAUCUGAAGGAAUACCGAUGGCGAAGGCAGCCACCUGGGUCAACACUGACGCUCAUGUACGAAAGCGUGGGGAGCAAACAGGAUUAGAUACCCUGGUAGUCCACGCCGUAAACGAUGUCUACUAGAAGCUCGGAACCUCGGUUCUGUUUUUCAAAGCUAACGCAUUAAGUAGACCGCCUGGGGAGUACGGCCGCAAGGUUAAAACUCAAA
This 534-nucleotide ribosomal RNA is filed under the name Pseudoalteromonas undina. RNAcentral describes it as "bacterial SSU rRNA". It matches the Rfam family "Bacterial small subunit ribosomal RNA", at positions 378 to 905 of the family's 1533-position model. The record is from RNAcentral. Lineage: Bacteria; Pseudomonadati; Pseudomonadota; Gammaproteobacteria; Alteromonadales; Pseudoalteromonadaceae.